UGUCCGAUGGUGUAAUUGGCAACACAGCAGAUUUUGGUUCUGUCGUUCCAGGUUCGAGUCCUGGUCGGACAACAA
This 75-nucleotide transfer RNA is filed under the name Bacteroidetes bacterium GWA2_30_7. RNAcentral describes it as "tRNA-Gln". It matches the Rfam family "tRNA". From Rfam's summary of the family: Transfer RNA (tRNA) molecules are approximately 80 nucleotides in length. Lineage: Bacteria; Pseudomonadati; Bacteroidota. The record is from RNAcentral.